RNAcentral lists this long non-coding RNA (240 nucleotides) under Phaseolus vulgaris (common bean). Its description in RNAcentral is "long non-coding RNA (PVUL_LNC001296)". Lineage: Eukaryota; Viridiplantae; Streptophyta; Magnoliopsida; Fabales; Fabaceae. The record is from RNAcentral.
GAGUCACAUAUAUCAUAAUUUUCAUUUUGUUUUAGUGUUGGAGGGAGGAUUACCUACCCUUCUUCACCCUUUCCUUAUCCUUAUCCUUAUGUUUAAAUAAAACUCAUGUCACUCUUUUUUAUAUCAAAUAUCUUUUCUUUUUAACACACUUCCUGAACUUAUCUCAUAAACAAUUACAUCAAAUCUACUAUCAAAAAAAUAUAUAAAAUGUUUGGAUCAUCCCAUUUCAUUGUUUUGUCG